RNAcentral lists this transfer RNA (85 nucleotides) under Laceyella putida. Its description in RNAcentral is "tRNA-Tyr". It matches the Rfam family "tRNA". Rfam says of the family: Transfer RNA (tRNA) molecules are approximately 80 nucleotides in length. Their secondary structure includes four short double-helical elements and three loops (D, anti-codon, and T loops). Further hydrogen bonds mediate the characteristic L-shaped molecular structure. tRNAs have two regions of fundamental functional importance: the anti-codon, which is responsible for specific mRNA codon recognition, and the 3' end, to which the tRNAs corresponding amino acid is attached (by aminoacyl-tRNA synthetases). tRNAs cope with the degeneracy of the genetic code in two manners: having more than one tRNA (with a specific anti-codon) for a particular amino acid; and 'wobble' base-pairing, i.e. permitting non-standard base-pairing at the 3rd anti-codon position. RNAcentral also lists the same sequence under 3 other names. Lineage: Bacteria; Bacillati; Bacillota; Bacilli; Caryophanales; Thermoactinomycetaceae. The record is from RNAcentral.
GGAGGGAUACCAAAGUGGCCAAAUGGGGCGGACUGUAAAUCCGCUGGCUUCGCCUUCGUAGGUUCGAAUCCUACUCCCUCCACCA